CCUACGGGCGGCAGCAGUGGGGAAUAUUUGACAAUGGGCGAAAGCCUGAUCCAGCCAUGCCGCGUGUGUGAAGAAGGCCUUCGGGUUGUAAAGCACUUUCAGUGGGGAAGAAAGCCUUGGGGCUAAUACCCUCGAGGAAGGACAUCACCCACAGAAGAAGCACCGGCUAACUCCGUGCCAGCAGCCGCGGUAAUACGGAGGGUGCGAGCGUUAAUCGGAAUUACUGGGCGUAAAGCGCGCGUAGGCGGUCUGAUAAGCCGGUUGUGAAAGCCCCGGGCUCAACCUGGGAACGGCAUCCGGAACUGUCAGGCUAGAGUGCAGGAGAGGAAGGUAGAAUUCCCGGUGUAGCGGUGAAAUGCGUAGAGAUCGGGAGGAAUACCAGUGGCGAAGGCGGCCUUCUGGACUGACACUGACGCUGAGGUGCGAAAGCGUGGGUAGCAAACAGGAUUAGAUACCCGAGUAGUC
This 465-nucleotide ribosomal RNA is filed under the name Vreelandella stevensii. Its description in RNAcentral is "partial 16S ribosomal RNA". It matches the Rfam family "Bacterial small subunit ribosomal RNA", at positions 338 to 795 of the family's 1533-position model. Lineage: Bacteria; Pseudomonadati; Pseudomonadota; Gammaproteobacteria; Oceanospirillales; Halomonadaceae. The record is from RNAcentral.